RNAcentral lists this transfer RNA (95 nucleotides) under Leucobacter sp. Its description in RNAcentral is "tRNA-Sec". It matches the Rfam family "Selenocysteine transfer RNA". The record is from RNAcentral. RNAcentral also lists the same sequence under 3 other names. Lineage: Bacteria; Bacillati; Actinomycetota; Actinomycetes; Micrococcales; Microbacteriaceae.
GGAAGCGUCUGGUUCCUGGUGGUGCCCCCGGUCUUCAAAACCGGUGAAACCGAGUAUCUCGGUUUGGCGGGUUCGAUUCCCGUCCGCUUCCGCCA